CUUGUUUGGGUGAACUUUCUGACUGGAAUUGUUUCAUUGAGUGAGGUCUGUUUCACUGAUCAAGAGAAUCUGCAACAUGCACUAACAGAAGAGCUGUCCAGUUUAUUGGGUCUAGAUUGAAUUGGAGGGUUUGACGGAAUUGGGCUGAACAAAUCCAGCCCAUCAUAAUUUGAAUUUUUGGUUCGGUUUUAAACCGGUUUAUAACCGACACCGGAGCGGUUUCGGUUCAAUUUUAUUUGGAAACCGAAAAUCAGUUCGGUUCAAGCUACCGGUUAACCGGUUUUUUCCACCUCUACUAGCCACUUCUCAUCAUCUUUUUGUUCAUUCAAUUUCUUCAUUUUGUUGGGAAAAAUGUGGAUAUUUGAGGAGAAUUUGGCUUGGAAAAUCAACCCUUUUUAGGAUCAACUCUUGGUGAAGUUCCAAAAUUGUACUUAGGAAGUGUCAACUUGGGGAAGCUGUCCAGGAGAAAGAAGAGGGCCUUGACUCCUAGUGUGACGCCUCUCAAGCAUUUUAUCAAACACUCGGUGUGCGUCACUCCGACACUCUAGAACCUUCUAGAAUACUCGGAAGCUUGAGCGAACAAGGCAACUUAGGACAAUCAUCGGGAGAUUGGCACCUAAGGCCGCACAAGUUUGAAGGGAAACAGUCGGGUCGUGACACUAGUAGUGGAAGAUGGAUAAGCUGGAGCAUGGGGCAAGGAAAACAUUUUGUUUGGGGCGUGCAGCUUUUUAGGAGAAGCGGAUAUUGGUACUUGAUGAAGCGACUGUAUCAAUUGACAACGCAACUGCCACCAUUUACAGAAAACUAUUCGAACAGAAUUUGCAGAUUGCACUGUGAUCACAGUAGCUCAUAGGAUACCAACUGUGAUGGAUGCAACAUGGAAAGCGAGUGGAGUAUGAUGAGCAAUGAAGUUGAUGAAGCACAGAAGAAUUUAUGUUUGGA
Pistacia vera is the source of this 942-nucleotide long non-coding RNA. RefSeq lists it as uncharacterized. Lineage: Eukaryota; Viridiplantae; Streptophyta; Magnoliopsida; Sapindales; Anacardiaceae. The transcript is spliced from 5 exons. The record is from RefSeq and is a predicted model, not a curated record.